GUCUUCGAGUCGUUGAUUUCACACUGCCGAGAAAAGCCUCUAGAUAGAAAAUAGGUGCCCGUACCGCAAACCGACACAGGUAGUCAAGAUGAGAAUUCUAAGGUGAGCGAGCGAACUCUCGUUAAGGAACUCGGCAAAAUGACCCCGUAACUUCGGGAGAAGGGGUGCUCUUUAGGGUUAACGCCCAGAAGAGCCGCAGUGAAUAGGCCCAAGCGACUGUUUAUCAAAAACACAGGUCUCUGCUAAACCGUAAGGUGAUGUAUAGGGGCUGACGCCUGCCCGGUGCUGGCAGGUUAAGAGGAGUGGUUAGCUUCUGCGAAGCUACGAAUCGAAGCCCCAGUAAACGGCGGCCGUAACUAUAACGGUCCUAAGGUAGCGAAAUUCCUUGUCGGGUAAGUUCCGACCCGCACGAAAGGCGUAACGAUUUGGGCACUGUCUCAACGAGAGACUCGGUGAAAUCAUAGUACCUGUGAAGAUGCAGGUUACCC
RNAcentral lists this ribosomal RNA (488 nucleotides) under Staphylococcus aureus. RNAcentral describes it as "partial 23S ribosomal RNA". It matches the Rfam family "Bacterial large subunit ribosomal RNA", at positions 1582 to 2071 of the family's 2925-position model. The record is from RNAcentral. Lineage: Bacteria; Bacillati; Bacillota; Bacilli; Caryophanales; Staphylococcaceae.